Molecule: long non-coding RNA, 623 nt
Organism: Neofelis nebulosa (Clouded leopard)
Lineage: Eukaryota; Metazoa; Chordata; Mammalia; Carnivora; Felidae
Exons: 3
Source: RefSeq, a predicted model, not a curated record
UCUCCAAAUCACAAUUGAUCUGAAUCAAAACUCGCAGGUCCAGGCCCUAGCCUGGUCAGCCUCCUUCCUACUCUGUAGGGGAAGGCAAGGAAAAGUCACUCCUUCUGCUCUUUUCAACCAGAAACUCUCUUCUUCCCUCCCAAAGGCACCACCGUGAGGCCACUUUUCUCCAUCCUAACCUUCUAGCGCUUCUGACCUCACAACACAAAAGGCAGCUUUAAGUCUGUAAACUGAAAAAGCCCAUGACCAGCAGGGGGAGAAGAUGAAAACGACAAGGACUUUCCCUCAACUUCCUCUGGGAUGAGAGAGCCCACCGAUCUCCGCCAGGAGGGCAGAGGUUCCAUGGACUUCCAGCACCCGAGAGAAGCGAAUGUGUGUAACAGGGAGCACAGUGUCCUGUCUGGAGCUGAGUUCCUUCUCCAGGCUUCUCUCUUCACAAACUCAUUGGAACAAAGAAAAAUCCAAGAGCAGCAAAACAUUGACAAUGCAUCGAAGCAGCUUUAUGAACAAAAUCUGGCUUCACCGGGCUACGAGAAAGAACUCAUUUCCAAUGAAUGUCAUAAAAAUGUAAGAGCUUAAAGAAUAAAUAUGCGUGUGUUUCCUAACAUUGCUAUUUGCCUGCA